AACGCACAUUGCGCCCCCUGGUAUUCCGGCGGGCAUGCCUGUUCGAGCGUCAUUUCUAUCCUCAAGCUCUGCUUGGUAUUGGGCCCUGGCUUGCAAAGCCUGCCCGAAAAACAGCGGCGGUGCGGCCGGAAUCACAGCGCAGUGACUUCUAUUCUCGCUGAUUUGAUUUCCGGACGACGCCAGCCGGGCAACAGCCAAUUUUUUUUUUUUACGAUUGACCUCGGAUCAGGUAGGGAUACCCGCUGAACUUAA
RNAcentral lists this unclassified non-coding RNA (252 nucleotides) under uncultured fungus. Its description in RNAcentral is "partial contains 5.8S ribosomal RNA, internal transcribed spacer 2, and large subunit ribosomal RNA". The record is from RNAcentral. Lineage: Eukaryota; Fungi.